Molecule: ribosomal RNA, 791 nt
Filed under: uncultured bacterium
Lineage: Bacteria
Description: bacterial SSU rRNA
Rfam family: Bacterial small subunit ribosomal RNA
Source: RNAcentral
AGAGUUUGAUCCUGGCUCAGAUUGAACGCUGGCGGCAUGCCUUACACAUGCAAGUCGAACGGCAGCACGGGGGCAACCCUGGUGGCGAGUGGCGAACGGGUGAGUAAUACAUCGGAACGUGUCCUGUCGUGGGGGAUAACCAGUCGAAAGACUGGCUAAUACCGCAUGAGAUCGAGAGAUGAAAGCAGGGGACCGCAAGGCCUUGCGCGAUUGGAGCGGCCGAUGUCGGAUUAGCUUGUUGGCGGGGUAAAAGCCCACCAAGGCGACGAUCCGUAGCUGGUUUGAGAGAACGACCAGCCACACUGGGACUGAGACACGGCCCAGACUCCUACGGGAGGCAGCAGUGGGGAAUUUUGGACAAUGGGGGCAACCCUGAUCCAGCCAUGCCGCGUGUGUGAAGAAGGCCUUCGGGUUGUAAAGCACUUUCGGACGGAACGAAAUCGCACGGGUGAAUAUCCCGUGUGGAUGACGGUACUGUAAGAAGAAGCACCGGCUAACUACGUGCCAGCAGCCGCGGUAAUACGUAGGGUGCGAGCGUUAAUCGGAAUUACUGGGCGUAAAGCGUGCGCAGGCGGCUUCGCAAGUCAGGCGUGAAAUCCCCGGGCUUAACCUGGGAAUGGCGUCUGAAACUACGGAGCUGGAGUGUGGCAGAGGGAGGUAGAAUUCCACGUAGCGGUGAAAUGCGUAGAUAUGUGGAGGAAUACCGAUGGCGAAGGCAGCCUCCUGGGCCAACACUGACGCUCAUGCACGAAAGCGUGGGGAGCAAACAGGAUUAGAUACCCUAGUAGUCC